UGGGGAAUAUUGGACAAUGGGCGAAAGCCUGAUCCAGCCAUGCCGCGUGUGUGAAGAAGGUCUUCGGAUUGUAAAGCACUUUAAGUUGGGAGGAAGGGCAGUAACCUAAUACGUUGCUGUCUUGACGUUACCGACAGAAUAAGCACCGGCUAACUCUGUGCCAGCAGCCGCGGUAAUACAGAGGGUGCAAGCGUUAAUCGGAAUUACUGGGCGUAAAGCGCGCGUAGGUGGUUUGUUAAGUUGGAUGUGAAAUCCCCGGGCUCAACCUGGGAACUGCAUUCAAAACUGACAAGCUAGAGUAUGGUAGAGGGUGGUGGAAUUUCCUGUGUAGCGGUGAAAUGCGUAGAUAUAGGAAGGAACACCAGUGGCGAAGGCGACCACCUGGACUGAUACUGACACUGAGGUGCGAAAGCGUGGGGAGCAAACAGGAUUAGAUACCCAAGUAGUCCCUGAGCGGGCUGGCAAGGCGCAU
Molecule: ribosomal RNA, 472 nt
Filed under: uncultured bacterium
Lineage: Bacteria
Description: bacterial SSU rRNA
Rfam family: Bacterial small subunit ribosomal RNA
Source: RNAcentral